RNAcentral lists this ribosomal RNA (393 nucleotides) under uncultured bacterium. RNAcentral describes it as "partial 16S ribosomal RNA". It matches the Rfam family "Bacterial small subunit ribosomal RNA", at positions 523 to 918 of the family's 1533-position model. The record is from RNAcentral.
AUACGGAGGAUGCGAGCGUUAUCCGGAUUUAUUGGGUUUAAAGGGUGCGUAGGCUGUGCGUUAAGUCAGGGGUGAAAUGCCGUGGCUCAACGACGGAGCUGCCCUUGAUACUGGCGUGCUGGAGUACGGAUGCCGUUGGUGGAAUGAGCGGUGUAGCGGGGAAAUGCUUAGAUAUCAGUCAGAACACCGAUUGCGAAGGCAUCUGGCGAAUCCGUCACUGACGCUGAGGCACGAAAGCGUGGGGAUAGAACAGGAUUAGAUACCCUGGUAUUCCACGCCGUAAACGAUGAUGACUAACCGUCGGCGAUAGACAGCCGGUGGCCAAGCGAAAGCGAUAAGUUAUCCACCUGGGGAGUACGGCGGCAACGAUGAAACUCAAAUGAAUUGACGGGG